Molecule: long non-coding RNA, 477 nt
Organism: Numida meleagris (helmeted guineafowl)
Lineage: Eukaryota; Metazoa; Chordata; Aves; Galliformes; Numididae
Exons: 3
Source: RefSeq, a predicted model, not a curated record
GAGCCCUGCUGUGACAAGCCAUCCAGGAACAAAAUAUCGUAACAGGGGUUGUGCAGGUUUUCAUCUAGAACUGGCUUCAGGUCUGAUAUCCAAAACAGUAUGCCAUGUCAUGCCAUCUUUGUCCUUGCCAUUGCAGUAGACAGCUACGGUUAGAACACAAGGUGUUGGUGUUCCUCGGGCCCACUCCUCUCAGAUCCCAUGUGUUGUGGAGGUGUGUUACCAGCCAAGCCAUCAGUGACGCUACAGACCCUGUGGACAACUUCAGAGGGAUCCAGCAUGCACAAAGGAGAUAAACCAACUGGAACUGGAUCUUUUUCACUCUGUGUUUUUGAGGUUUGCAUUCGGCAGUAGGUAUUUCUUCAUAUUCUACAGUUACUUGCAGUCAUUUCACUGAAGUAAAACAAGGACUAUAUUUCGCAAUGAAUCCUUUAAAACAUUAUAUAACAGAGUAAAAUCUCUUGUACGGAGAAUGUUUCU